RNAcentral lists this ribosomal RNA (649 nucleotides) under Chryseobacterium sp. RNAcentral describes it as "bacterial SSU rRNA". It matches the Rfam family "Bacterial small subunit ribosomal RNA", at positions 8 to 657 of the family's 1533-position model. Lineage: Bacteria; Pseudomonadati; Bacteroidota; Flavobacteriia; Flavobacteriales; Weeksellaceae. The record is from RNAcentral.
AGAGUUUGAUCCUGGCUCAGGAUGAACGCUAGCGGGAGGCCUAACACAUGCAAGCCGAGCGGUAGAGUCUCUUCGGAGACUUGAGAGCGGCGCACGGGUGCGGAACACGUGUGCAACCUGCCUUUAUCUGGGGGAUAGCCUUUAGAAAGGGAGAUUAAUACCCCAUAAUAUACUGGAUGGCAUCAUCUGGUAUUGAAAACUCCGGUGGAUAGAGAUGGGCACGCGCAAGAUUAGAUAGUUGGUGAGGUAACGGCUCACCAAGUCAGCGAUCUUUAGGGGGCCUGAGAGGGUGAUCCCCCGCACUGGUACUGAGACACGGACCAGACUCCUACGGGAGGCAGCAGUGAGGAAUAUUGGACAAUGGGUGAGAGCCUGAUCCAGCCAUCCCGCGUGAAGGACGACGGCCCUAUGGGUUGUAAACUUCUUUUGUAUAGGGAUAAACCUAGAUACGUGUAUCUAGCUGAAGGUACUAUACGAAUAAGCACCGGCUAACUCCGUGCCAGCAGCCGCGGUAAUACGGAGGGUGCAAGCGUCAUCCGGAUUUAUUGGGUUUAAAGGGUCCGUAGGCGGAUUUGUAAGUCAGUGGUGAAAUCUCACAGCUUAACUGUGAAACUGCCAUUGAUACUGCAGGUCUUGAGUGUUGUUGAAG